RNAcentral lists this long non-coding RNA (2840 nucleotides) under Mus musculus (house mouse). RNAcentral describes it as "RIKEN cDNA 3222401L13 gene (3222401L13Rik)". The record is from RNAcentral. Lineage: Eukaryota; Metazoa; Chordata; Mammalia; Rodentia; Muridae.
GCAGUCUUUGUUCUGCUCCUAUAACUGCGUCCCUAUUGCGCAGAGUCUUUGGAAAAGAAUCUGAGAGUGAGUGCUGAGAACUGCUCCACCUAGCCACGACUGCAGAGACCAACGUGAGAAUGACUGGAUCGACAGACACUGCAGUUCCACCAAAGAAAUUAUGUAAGCCACUAGAAUUUGAAAACUAACUCUACCGAAAAUCAUAUAGACAGAAUCGGCCUGGACUUAAAUGACAGCGGCUUGUGGCAGACUGUUUUGGAAAUUUCGGAUGGCAUCUUAAUAUCAGCAUUUAAAAAUUCGGAUGCUGAGAAAAGCUCUACAAAUGUUAUCACGUAACUUUCAGAAACCAUCUCCUCUGACUCCAGAAGUGAAUGGAGAGCCAUUACAGCAGUAGAUACUGGAAACUGCUACUGAGGGACCGUAGACCAGAGGAGCAGGACUGCCACUCCUCGGUGAUGGGCAUGGGGCAGAACAGCUCUAGACCAAAAAAAGAAAAAGAAGGAGGAGGAGGAGAAGGAAAAGCCUUAGAGCCUUGGAUUUCGAGCCACAUCUGUGCAGCUCACCUAUCCUGCAGAAGAGCCGAUCCUCACUGUGACCACGUUCCAGGUGAUCCUCAUUGACAUCUUAAGGUAGAGUUCUGCUGUAAUUUCUAUACAAUCUUAUAACUCAUACAGAAUAGAAUCUACUGUUUCCAGAUUGCAGCAAUGCUUGAUUUUGAUUUAAAAAAAAAAAAAAAAAGGAACCGCAAGGAUAAAAGAUUGGAGGCAGUCUAUAAAGACCCAUUUCCAAAGUCCCAGUUGAAGUGGAGGUCACUGUCAACCAGGUGUCCACAGGUAAGAACUGCUAUUACAUAAACAGGCCAACUGAGCCCUUUGCUUAAAUGGACAGGAGUGAGCCCACGGACAGUUCACCUACAAGAAUUGCUAUGUAAUUGUCACCUACUGAGAGAUGGGACCCUGAACGGGAGCAGACUCUAAAGCACAAUCUUGCCAUCAGUGCCCUCACAGGGCUGAGCCCUCUCUUUUCUGCAGCACAAGCGUUAUUACCCAAGCAUUUUCAUCAACAAAAGUAGUCUGUGUGCGGAGAGUGAUGGUGCAUGCCUGUAACCUCGGCAUCCAGGAGACUGAGCAAGAAGAUCCAGAGUUUAAGGCUAGCCUCAACUACAAAGUGAAAUGCUAACAAAACAACAACAACAGCAAAAGCAAUCCAAGUGCUUCUUUUCAGAAGACGGGUCAUUGUUUUUCUUUCUUCCCUUUUCCUUUUGUGGUGCUGAGGUGUAGUCGUGAGGCCUUUUCUGUGCUAGGCAGGUGACCCAUAGUGAGCCACAUCUGAGCCUUUAUUUUUUCUUGAGACAGGGUAUUGUUGUGUAGCAUAGGCUGACCUCAUAUUUAUAAUCCAUCUGUCUCUGCCUCCUGAAUGCUGGAUUACAAAUGUGCACCAUUGUGCCUUGUGCCAAGGGGUUGGGAGCAUUCACCCAAGCCUCCUGCAGUACUUUGGACCAGUGCUUGGGAUCUUUCAUAAUUCCUGUUUCUCCCUGACCAAGUGACUUUGCAUCAAGAAAGUGCUACUGUCCUGUGUCAGCAAGGCCAGACUGCAGCAGUAUUCCUGGAGACUACCUGGAAACUGGUCCUCAGCCUGAUAAUCAGGGUUUGGCUGGCUCAAUGCCAUCCAGAGCCUCCCUAUUGGGGUGGGUGGCUGACACAAAAUACAAGGAGUAUGCUUUGCCAACACCUUCAUAAGAUAAGACUGCAGUGCACACUGUGGAGCCUGUCUACCUCGUGACCAAAGUAUACACCAACUUGAAGCACAAGAGCUAACUGCCCUAUCGCAUAUUUCAGACCAGCUAAUGUGGUUCUUCAACCUGGGGACUCAUACAGCUAAGUAUGUACAACACUGCUCCGUCUCAGAGUCAGAACCUACCAGGGCCUAUGUGGUGGAUAGUCACCACGUUGUCUAGCCUUUACCAUGAGUUUUCAGGAGUUGCUGCCAGACUUCAGUGUACCAAGUAUAUAGGUACACUUCCAGGUAGAUGGAGGUUUAGUUUUGAAAGCCUUGCCUUAGUUUCUGUACUCUUCCUCCUCAAAGGGAUUCUGGCAAUCAUCCUGGGCCUGUUACCUAUCUCCAACACUAGGAAUGUCUGCUGGCGAAGCAUGGAUUUGAAGUUGCUCCCAACAUAAGCCUCACCUUUUAGUAGAAUCGAUGCAUGACUUCACCUAGCAGAUUAAUUCUAGAAACAUCUUUCAAUUGGACAUUGCCUGCAGUGCCAACAGGGGAGCCUUACAUGUUGUAUUGGAGUCAAAUACAUGCAUGUGAGUUUGAAUAUUUUCACUUAGUACAACUUUUAUAAGUUGUUCCUACCUGUCUUUUGUUGGUGGGAAUGGGAAGCUCUACCAGUUUACUGAAUACUUUUAUAUGUGCUUUAUUUUGCCUCUUUAGUUCACAAUUCCUUCUAGAAGAACUUUGCAUGCAUUAAUUUGCAUUAACAUGUUCUGAAAACGCUUGUCCUUACAAUAAUGAAGGGGGGUUAUUGCACUGUUAAGUUACUACCCUUGAAGUCCAUAUACUUUGAGGUGCUGAGAAACUGUGAAUUUAGUUAUAUAAGAGCAGAAAUUCUCCUUCCAAGAACGAUUUAUAUGGCUGUUAAAUCCCCCCUUCCUUUCCUCAUUUUCUGAAACUUUCAUGGCUAUUGUAUCUAGUUGGCUGCCAGCAUCCAUCUCAAUUGUUUCUGAAAUGUAAAUACCAUAUUUUCUUGUUAGAUAAAGAAAUGUAAAUUACUGUAACCUGAGAUGCUGUCAUUUUUAAACCUUCUUUAUCAAGGAAUAAAUUAAAACAUUUGCAAA